RNAcentral lists this ribosomal RNA (497 nucleotides) under uncultured bacterium. Its description in RNAcentral is "partial 16S ribosomal RNA". It matches the Rfam family "Bacterial small subunit ribosomal RNA", at positions 28 to 507 of the family's 1533-position model. The record is from RNAcentral.
GAUGAACGCUGGCGGCGUGCCUAAUACAUGCCAGUCGAGCGAACAGAUGAGGAGCUUGCUCCUCUGACGUUAGCGGCGGACGGGUGAGUAACACGUGGAUAACCUACCUAUAAGACUGGGAUAACUUCGGGAAACCGGAGCUAAUACCGGAUAAUAUAUUGAACCGCAUGGUUCAUUAGUGAAAGACGGUUUUGCUGUCACUUAUAGAUGGAUCCGCGCCGCAUUAGCUAGUUGGUAAGGUAACGGCUUACCAAGGCAACGAUGCGUAGCCGACCUGAGAGGGUGAUCGGCCACACUGGAACUGAGACACGGUCCAGACUCCUACGGGAGGCAGCAGUAGGGAAUCCUCCGCAAUGGGCGAAAGCCUGACGGAGCAACGCCGCGUGAGUGAUGAAGGUCUUCGGAUCGUAAAACUCUGUUAUUAGGGAAGAACAAAUGUGUAAGUAACUAUGCACGUCUUGACGGUACCUAAUCAGAAAGCCACGGCUAACUACGUG